Molecule: long non-coding RNA, 419 nt
Filed under: Numida meleagris (helmeted guineafowl)
Lineage: Eukaryota; Metazoa; Chordata; Aves; Galliformes; Numididae
Description: lncRNA (ENSNMEG00000019774.1)
Source: RNAcentral
UUCCAGUUUGGGCUAUUUUAAGGUAUUUUUGUCUGAACAUGAUAAAUUUCUUUUUCAUAUGAUUUAUAACAUGUCAUUUCAGGAUACUGAAGUCUUCCAGACAACAUUAAUCUAUCGAUGACUCUGAGGUGAAGAUGUGAUUGAUGCAGUUACAGACAUUGGUGUCAUAGGUAAUAAACCUAAGUCUGGAAGGACCACAACAAACAUCUCACCUGAGUCUUUCAUUAAUGUGCCAAACUGUCUGACCUAAGAUCUUCUGAAAAAAUGAAGAAAAUCCAAUGAAUGGAAAAUUGGGGUUACUGUGUAUGCAAAGUGAAAUAAUAGUUAUUUGAGUAUUGAAUCUUCCAAAAGGAAAAUUUGAAAAUGAUUAAGUGCAUUCAGACAAGAAACUAUAAUGCUGGGAGAGGUGAAAAGGGGAA